CCAAGCCCUUUCAGGUCCUUCUUGCCGCAACUCCGAAGUAGAGAGGUAGGAGGGCGGGUCAUGGAAUGGACAUGUACAACACCUCUUGAAGAACAAGAGUUAUGGAACAGGUAUAAGUAGUACUCCAGAAUAUGUAGAACUGAAGAACUGGUCAGUGACACUCGAAACUGGUGAGACCAGACAGAAAAAUGCUUCCAUUUAAGAGAGGCUCUGUUGAGGAGUGGAAUAUCAGUGCAUUUGCUGGGGCUGAUAGUGCUUCCCGACCAGGCCAGGUAUGUACAGACCUAAAGACUUCAAGGUGGCUCUAGAGUUCUUAAGUCCACGGAGCUUGUUGUCCAUCUGGUCCUAGAACAGAGAAGGACCCUCAAAUGGCAAGUCCUGGAUAGUGAUCAGUACUUCAUAGGGAAGACCAGAAGACUACAACCAGGAUGAUCUAUGCAUUGCAACUGUGGAAGCCACGGUUCUAGCUGCUGAGUCUGCUGCAUCGAGCUCCGCCUGCAGCAAAGUUCUUGCGACUAGUCUGCCCUCAUUGACCAGGGCAGAACAAGCGUUCUCAAGGAGUAAUUCUCUGAACUUUUCCAUGGAGGACCACAAAUUAAAAUCAUACUGCCCCAACAGAGCCUGUUGGUUAGCAAUACGCAGUAGCAAAU
Molecule: long non-coding RNA, 650 nt
Organism: Terrapene triunguis (Three-toed box turtle)
Lineage: Eukaryota; Metazoa; Chordata; Testudines; Emydidae
Exons: 3
Source: RefSeq, a predicted model, not a curated record